This 507-nucleotide ribosomal RNA is filed under the name uncultured bacterium. RNAcentral's name for it is "bacterial SSU rRNA". It matches the Rfam family "Bacterial small subunit ribosomal RNA", at positions 8 to 527 of the family's 1533-position model. The record is from RNAcentral.
AGAGUUUGAUCCUGGCUCAGAAUCAACGCUGGCGGCGUGCCUCAGACAUGCAAGUCGAACGAUUAAAGCUCUCUUCGGAGAGUGUAUAGAGUGGCGCACGGGUGAGUAACACGUAAGUAAUCUACCCUCGGGUGGGGAAUAACAUUCGGAAACGAAUGCUAAUACCGCAUAAUGCAGCGGCUCCUAAUGGAGACAGUUGUUAAAGGAUUUAUUCGCCUGGGGAGGAGCUUGCGGCAGAUUAGCUAGUUGGUAAGGUAAUGGCUUACCAAGGCAACGAUCUGUAGCCGGUCUAAGAGGACGGUCGGUCACACUGACACUGAAUAACGGGUCAGACUCCUACGGGAGGCAGCAGUCGGGAAUUUUGGGCAAUGGGCGAAAGCCUGACCCAGCAACGCCGCGUGAAGGAUGAAGUAUUUCGGUAUGUAAACUUCGAAAGAAUAGGAAGAAUUAAUGACGGUACUAUUUAUAAGGUCCGGCUAACUACGUGCCAGCAGCCGCGGUAAUACA